GUGUCAGCCGCCGCGGUAAUACGUAGGGGGCUAGCGUUGUCCGGAAUCAUUGGGCGUAAAGCGCGCGUAGGCGGCCCGGUAAGUCCGCUGUAAAAGUCAAAGGCUCAACCUUUGAAUGUCAGUGGAUACUGCCGGGCUAGAGUCCGGAAGAGGCGAGUGGAACUCCUGGUGUAGCGGUGGAAUGCGCAGAUAUCAGGAAGAACACCGACGGCGAAGGCAGCUCGCUGGGACGGUACUGACGCUGAGGCGCGAAAGCGUGGGGAGCGAACAGGAUUAGAAACCCCCGUAGUCC
RNAcentral lists this ribosomal RNA (292 nucleotides) under uncultured bacterium. RNAcentral's name for it is "partial 16S ribosomal RNA". It matches the Rfam family "Bacterial small subunit ribosomal RNA", at positions 505 to 796 of the family's 1533-position model. The record is from RNAcentral.